AGAAAGGCUGGUGGCUAGGCACAAGCAAAUUACACCAUUAAUGUCAUCCUGGCGAAUGAAACAAGAGAAUAGUAUUUAUCAGAGAAAGUCUGGUGAGUUGAAGUCCAAGACCCCAGGAAACAACUAGCCCUGCUGGGCUGCCCCUCCUUCGGAGUGGGACUAUAUGAUCCUCAUCAGGCCAAUCCACGUCACAGAAUGGUCUAGGCAUUGGAUGAGUGCCUCAAUCUGAGCCAAUGAAGGUCAUUGCUGAGACAUUUUACUGGUUGCCAGGCUGCAGGCAUCCCAGGCUUCCUGCUGCCCUCAUGUCUACAACCUGUCGUCUGGAACAUUCCAGGAGCCACUUUUAUCACUUGCAGCAAUCUUCUUCAAAUACCACAGACUGGGCAAUUUAUAAAUGAUGGAAGUUUAUUUGGCUCAUGGUUCUGGAGACUGGGAAGUCCAAGAACAUGGCACUGUCAUCUGGAGAGAUGGGAUUUCUGCAACAUGCAGCCCACAACAGAACUGAUGGAGCCUAUGUAGCGAGAAGAGGUCAGAAGCUGCCCAAAGCAGCUCUGAGGCUGGGGUCACUGCACCCACCAGCUGCUGCCUGGAAGAGAAACGGGAAAGGGUGGAUGCACUGUUUUGCAUUUUUUCUCCAGACAACCAAAGAAAUCGGGAUGACAGACAGAGUUCCCUGCCUGGGGAAAACAGCUCUUUCCAACCCAACUUAUAGGAUUGGGAGUGUUGGGGAGGGUGGAGGAGUCAUCCUCGACACACUUAUGUCUGUGCAAGAUGUGGAGAAAAGUAGGAAAGAAGCAGAACUCCAGCACAUCUUCAAAUGGAUGGCCCCUGAAACUGAACAGACAGUACACAAAGGCACACUACAACUUUCUGGGCAAGAGUCUGUGGCUGCAAAGAUGGAAACUGAUUUGUCGAGGACCCUAGGAGGUGAACUGAAACCAGAAAGCAGAAAUGCUGGGAGAGGGUGAAUGAGGCUGGAGAUGGCCUAUACACAUAAUUGUACGGAGAUGAGAAAGGCCACUGGGAUGUAGUACUUUUUUGCCUUUUAGGCCACAUUCAGGGGCUGCUGCAGACAGGGCUGUGCCCAGUAAGCAAGAAUGAAAGGGGCAGGGGCAACCUGAAGCUGUGUGCUUAGGCUCACAAACCUGUCUCCAAAGAAAGUUUUCCAGAUCAUUCUUUUAUAUCCUGUAUGGAAUCAAACAAAAUUACAGUACCUCCUUUUUCAUGACUGAGUCUCUCGGUGAGAACUCGACAUUUCCUUACAGUCAACUCAAAAUUUCCCACUUUGUGGGAAAUGAGUAAUGGGGUUGAGGACAUGCUGCCCCCAAAUACAGCACCUUGGCAUUUGAGAAAAAGCAGAAGCAGUAAAGUCUCUCUGAACUUCUCCCACCCUUUUCUCCUGCAGCUGUUCAUAAAACCUAGGGGAGAUUUUCUGACCUCACCCUGAAGCAGUUCCUAAGAUCCUCACUUUAGAGAUGCCCUCACUAUAUCCAGAAGAAAGAAGCAUCCUUAUCUCCGAACACAAAACGUCACAGAGAAGAAUCUGAACAAACAGGCCUUGCUAAGUUUCCCUUGGUUUUUUACCAUCAGAUCACACUGUUUUGCCCAAUCAUAUUUCUCCACAACUGUCCACUCUUCACUAAACCUAAGAUGUAUAUAUAUAUAUUUCACUGUUUCUUUGGGUUUUCAUUUCCUUAUGAAGACUCAUGUCAUGUAAAACCUACAUUAACUAAAUAUGUCUAAUUUUCUCUGUUAAUCUGUCUUAGGUAAAAGGGACUUCAGCCAUGAACCUAGGAAUGGGGAGAUAAAGAUGUUUUUCCUCCUACAUGGUGAAGAGAAGAGGGUUUGCUAUCACUCUCCUCCCUACCACGUUUCUCUUUUGGAGGCCUGAGUUCAGAACACUUAUAUAGUCAUCACCUUUGAAAUUAGUUUGAAUUUAAUUUCUUACUGAUUUAAAUUUUUUGGAAGUUUCCAUUUAGAUAAAUCUUUUUCACUGGUGGAAUAUCUAGUGAAGGUUGCAGGGGGAUCUAACUGAGAACAUUUUCUUAAUGAUUGUACC
Molecule: long non-coding RNA, 2059 nt
Organism: Homo sapiens (human)
Lineage: Eukaryota; Metazoa; Chordata; Mammalia; Primates; Hominidae
Product: long intergenic non-protein coding RNA 2200
Source: Ensembl